CACGCAGGGCGCGAGCGUUGUCCGGAAUUAUUGGGCGUAAAGAGCUCGUAGGCGGCCUGUUGCGUCCGCUGUGAAAGCCCGGGGCUUAACCCCGGGUCGGCAGUGGAUACGGGCAGGCUAGAGGUAGGUAGGGGAGAAUGGAAUUCCCGGUGUAGCGGUGAAAUGCGCAGAUAUCAGGAGGAACACCGAUGGCGAAGGCAGGUCUCUGGGCAUUAACUGACGCUGAGGAGCGAAAGCAUGGGGAGCGAACAGG
This 253-nucleotide ribosomal RNA is filed under the name uncultured bacterium. RNAcentral describes it as "partial 16S ribosomal RNA". It matches the Rfam family "Bacterial small subunit ribosomal RNA", at positions 524 to 776 of the family's 1533-position model. The record is from RNAcentral.